GGCUCAGGAUGAACGCUGGCGGCGUGCUUAACACAUGCAAGUCGAACGAAGAGGAUAAGAAAGAGCGCUUCGGCAGGAUUUUUUUAUUAACUUAGUGGCGGACUGGUGAGUAACGCGUGAGUAAUCUGCCUAUCACAGGGGGAUAACAGAGGGAAACUUCUGCUAAUACCGCAUAAGACCACAGGAUGGCAUCAUCAAGGGGUCAAAGGUUAGAUCUGGUGAUAGAUGAGCUUGCGUAUCAUUAGCUAGUUGGUGAGGGUAAAGGCCCACCAAGGCGACGAUGAUUAGCCGAUCUGAGAGGAUGACCGGCCACACUGGGACUGAGAUACGGCCCAGACUCCUACGGGAGGCAGCAGUUAGGAAUAUUGGGCAAUGGAGGAAACUCUGACCCAGCAACGCCGCGUGAAGGAAGAAGGUUUUCGGACUGUAAACUUCUGAUCUAAGGGAAAAAGAAAGUGAUGGUACCUUAGGAGAAAGCCACGGCUAACUACGUGCCAGCAGCCGCGGUAA
Molecule: ribosomal RNA, 510 nt
Filed under: uncultured bacterium
Lineage: Bacteria
Description: bacterial SSU rRNA
Rfam family: Bacterial small subunit ribosomal RNA
Source: RNAcentral